RNAcentral lists this long non-coding RNA (254 nucleotides) under Nicotiana benthamiana. RNAcentral's name for it is "long non-coding RNA (NBEN_LNC010824)". Lineage: Eukaryota; Viridiplantae; Streptophyta; Magnoliopsida; Solanales; Solanaceae. The record is from RNAcentral.
GAAGUAAUUGAUGGCGCCAGAGAAGGUAAUUAGAAGACGACAAUUUAAUUGUCAACAUAUGAAGAAUGGUGUUCAAGGGGAGGGUACCUUCGGUUGCUUUUACAGCGGCAGCCAUGGGAGAGAAGAAAGAAGAAGGCGAUUAGGGUUAGGGAGGAUCGGUUUAGGCUGAUACCAUGUAGAGUUUAAUAAUUUUACCACACACUUGUGGACUCUCAUUCAUUGAAUAUAUAUAGGAUACAAAUACAAGUUAUAAU